UUCGCCCUUAGAGUUUGAUCCUGGCUCAGGACGAACGCUGGCGGCGCGCCUAACACAUGCAAGUCGAACGAGAGAUGAGGAGCUUGCUCUUCAAAUCGAGUGGCGAAUGGGUGAGUAACGCGUGAGGAACCUGCCUCAAAGAGGGGGACAACAGUUGGAAACGACUGCUAAUACCGCAUAAGCCCACGGCUCGGCAUCGAGCAGAGGGAAAAGGAGCAAUCCGCUUUGAGAUGGCCUCGCGUCCGAUUAGCUAGUUGGUGAGGUAACGGCCCACCAAGGCGACGAUCGGUAGCCGGACUGAGAGGUUGAACGGCCACAUUGGGACUGAGACACGGCCCAGACUCCUACGGGAGGCAGCAGUGGGGAAUAUUGCACAAUGGGGGAAACCCUGAUGCAGCGACGCCGCGUGGAGGAAGAAGGUCUUCGGAUUGUAAACUCCUGUUGUUGAGGAAGAUAAUGACGGUACUCAACAAGGAAGUGACGGCUAACUACGUGCCAGCAGCCGCGGUAAAACGUAGGUCACAAGCGUUGUCCGGAAUUACUGGGUGUAAAGGGAGCGCAGGCGGGAGAACAAGUUGGAAGUGAAAUCCAUGGGCUCAACCCAUGAACUGCUUUCAAAACUGUUUUUCUUGAGUAGUGCAGAGGUAGGCGGAAUUCCCGGUGUAGCGGUGGAAUGCGUAGAUAUCGGGAGGAACACCAGUGGCGAAGGCGGCCUACUGGGCACCAACUGACGCUGAGGCUCGAAAGUGUGGGUAGCAAACAGGAUUAGAUACCCUGGUAGUCCACACCGUAAACGAUGAUUACUAGGUGUUGGAGGAUUGACCCCUUCAGUGCCGCAGUUAACACAAUAAGUAAUCCACCUGGGGAGUACGACCGCAAGGUUGAAACUCAAAGGAAUUGACGGGGGCCCGCACAAGCAGUGGAGUAUGUGGUUUAAUUCGACGCAACGCGAAGAACCUUACCAAGUCUUGACAUCCCUUGACGAUGCCGGAAACAGUAUUUCUCUUCGGAGCAAGGAGACAGGUGGUGCAUGGUUGUCGUCAGCUCGUGUCGUGAGAUGUUGGGUUAAGUCCCGCAACGAGCGCAACCCUUAUGGUCAGUUACUACGCAAGAGGACUCUGGCCAGACUGCCUUUGACAAAACGGAGGAAGGUGGGGAUGACGUCAAAUCAUCAUGCCCUUUAUGACUUGGGCUACACACGUACUACAAUGGCGUUAAACAAAGAGAAGCAAGACCGCGAGGUGGAGCAAAGCUCAGAAACAACGUCCCAGUUCGGACUGCAGGCUGCAACUCGCCUGCACGAAGUCGGAAUUGCUAGUAAUCGUGGAUCAGCAUGCCACGGUGAAUACGUUCCCGGGCCUUGCACACACCGCCCGUCA
RNAcentral lists this ribosomal RNA (1379 nucleotides) under uncultured bacterium. RNAcentral describes it as "16S ribosomal RNA". It matches the Rfam family "Bacterial small subunit ribosomal RNA". The record is from RNAcentral.